CCGGGCGGGUCGGGCGCGAGGGGCGGGGAGGGGUCGGCCGCGGCCGCCCGGGCGGGCGGGCCGGCCGUGCCCGGAGCGCCGCCACUGCAGUGGCUCCGUGCAAAGUCAUUGCACCAGCUCCGGGCGGACACGCCAAGCCGGCGCUGCUGGCCUGGGCCCGGGCCCCGGGCUUCCCGGCUCGAGGGGGAGGGGACCUGCCAGCCGCGCCGGGCCGGGCUUCGGCCUCCAGGUCGCGGGCGUGCCGCGCUCCCGCGGGGGGCAGAGCUGCCCCCAAGGAGCGCCCUGCUGCAUUGUGCGUCCGGAACGGCGGGCCGCGCCGCCCGGUGCAGGGAGGGAGGGGUCGCAGCUCUCGGGGCCGAGAUCGGGGGACGGCCCUGGAAGUUCCCCAGGUGCAGAAAGCCCCGCGGGGCAGCCGGCCUGCCUCUUUUUGUCUCACGGAGCCGCCCCGGUUCUCUGACUGCAGCGGGGAGCUUGGCGUGUGAAAUUCUCCAGGAGGUUAAAUAGCACCGGGGUGGGGGUGGGGGUCCUGACGGCGGCCUGGGCGGUGGGGGACUCCCGCGUGCUUGCGGACUUUUUGGGAGGACAGAUGAUUACAGGACCAUGGAUAGGGGACCGGCCCCGACUGGGGAGCCUGGAGCGUUUUUCUGGAUUCCGAAGCUGUUAGGCAAACAUCAGAGUCCCAUAUGGCACUGGGGUGCGGCUGGUGGCUGUCGCAGUUUUUAGACAACAAAGGGGCUUGUCAUCCUAAACCUGAAACCCUGCACCCAGGUUGGUGUGGUAGCUUGUCCACGCCCCCUCCCCGUGUGACUAACUGUCAGUGGUCACACACACCUCCAUCGCACACCCUCUCGUCCUCACCUCCACCCCUGCCCUCCGUGUGAAACGGGAACCCGGCACCCGGCCGGCCUGCGCUGUCUGAUCUCACAGGCUCCACUUGAGAAGUUAAUCUGGGUUUCUCUCACGCCGGGAGACAAAGACCACGGAGGAGCAGCUCCGAGCCCCACUGCACGGGGCUCUGUGAGGACGGCUGGGCGGGGACAAGGCCCCUCGCCUGCCAGCGCUUUCCUGGUGGCAGAAGUGACUGCUGAUCCCAGCAGGGUCUUUCUCUCGCUAAUGCGCAUGCACCCACAGGCCCAAAUCCACACACAGGCCCGGGCCUCCCCUCAGAAAUGCAAAUCAGGCAGCCGUCUCCGACUGGGUAUACGUUCAUUUGCAGAAGUCUUUGGAAAAUACUGCUUUUAGCCAGGGAUGCAUGUUUAAAAAAAUGUGCGGGUGCUCCGUGCACGCCCUCAUUGUCUUGCGGGCAGGUGCUGACUGCUGUCCCCGGGAGGUGGUCACCUCCGGUCCUCUCUGGAGGCUGGUGACUUUCGGGAUGCAGCUCACUUGACUCCAGCAUCUGCCCGGCACCCAGGAGGCAGCUGUUUAUCAGUUGCCGCUCCUGCCCAACUUGACUUUGGUGGUUAACUUUGUUUACAGCCACGCUAGGUGCGCCUCCCUCACCAUGUGUAAUUAUACCAAGUUUGCCUUAAGAUGCCUAUUUAGGGAGUCAAGUGAGGAUGACUUGCAGGCACCACUCGAGUAGGUUUUAAGACGGCCCUCGUGUGACUCGCCUGGAAUCAUUCAACUCCGUUUUGCCGCCCCGGUGGUGGUGGUUUCUUUGCCGUCAUGGCUUUUGGACUUAGCAGAAGCCCAGGGCGCAGGGACCCCUCGGAAGUGAGUGCAGUGUCCGGAUCUUUUGAGGGCCUGGAGAUAGGUCCAGCGGUUGGCACAGACGACCUUGGUCCACUGCAGGUCUCCUUGCAGCACUGUGGACUAGGGAGAUGUUCCUCUCAUCUCCUGUUCUUCUAGAUUCCGUCACGGCGAUGGCCCGCUGUGGAGACCAUCAGACCAAGGCUAGGAUUUGGUUCUGGUGCCUGCCCCGGCAGUAAUCCAGUGAUGAGAUUUAGAGCCCAGUUAUCAGUAGAAUAGCAUGGGGCACACUGGGUUCUAGUCCCAGUCGGGGUGCCGGAUUCUGUCCCGGUUGCCCCUCUUCCAGGCCAGCUCUCUGCUGUGGCCAGGGAGGGCAGUGGAGGAUGGCCCAGGUGCUUGGGCCCUGCGCCCCAUGGGAGACCAGGAGAAGCACCUGGCUCCUGCCAUCUGAUCAGCGUGGUGCGCCGGCCGCGGCGGCCAUUGGAGGGUGAACCAACGGCAAAGGAAGACCUUUCUGUCUCUCUCACUGUCCACUCUGCCUGUCAAAAAAAAAAAAAAAAGAAUAGCAUGGGGUGGCAUUGAGGAACUUUGCCUUUUUUGAUAGUGUGGAGUGAACUUUGCCUUUUUUGAUAGUGUCCCUUUAGUGUGGAGUGUUUCUGAGGCUGUGGAGGAUUUUUUUUUGUAGUUUUCAUGUUGAGUUGGAGGGCAGUGAGUGAGUUUGCAGUGAACAAGUUUACAAGGAGAGAGAGAAACUGGGCAGCAAGUCCUGCCCUCACCCCGCCACCUCUGCGCAAGUGAGCAGUGCAAAUAAAGGAGUUCUUACAGCAGCCCAAAUGGAGUUCCUUUGGAACUGGACGGAAGAGAGUGACCGGGGCCUCUGAGGUGGGCCCGCCUGUCCGCAGCCUGCUGGUGCCUUCAGCGCGCUGGCCAUUUACCCUUGAAACUUGAGGGGGCGUACCCGUCCCCGCCAGCGGUCAUCCGUUGCAUACAUUGUGGAGUGGAGCCCAGAUGCGGGCAGCCUCUCCUCUCCUGAACACCGGCGGGCCUGUGGCUCUUCCUGGCCCCCGUGGGAGGAGCCAGGACUGCAGCCUCCUUGUGUUUGCCCGUCCUGCCUGUGUUUGCCCGUCCUGCCUGUGUUUGCCCGUCCUGCCUGUGUUUGCCCGUCCUGCCUGUGUUUGCGCGUUCUCCCAGCCCCCCUGUGUUGUCUUUUGCUGAGAGCUGCCCCGGCACUGCGGGUGUCCGGGUUUGAGACACAAAGCCUCCAACCUGAAGCCGUGUGUGAUCACCCUGCUUUUAUGAGGCUGCCUAAGAAGCAGCCCAGUGACAGGUCCCUCAGGAAUUGGCUUUUUAGUUUAUUUUUGGCUCCUACUUAGGCCAGCAUUUCCAUGGGGAAAGCUUUCAAGGUGCAGCAGCGUCACACAGCACGUGAAGUUCGACUCGCUUGUCGGGGUGCCGGGCCCAUUAGAAGCAGUUGUUCCCAGUGAUGUGACAGGAAGAAGUUAUGUAAGGUGGACGGAUGCAGGACCAAGUGCAUUCUAUUCAGAUGGGAUCCCAGCGCCUGGGGAUUCCGGCAGCGCUGGCAUUUUACUUUCUGCCCCUCGGCUUUUCCGCUUCUAACUAACUCCUGGGCCUCAGCGCCGGAGAGCGUCUCUGUCCAGAUGCUGCCUGGCUCAGGGCCACUCUGACCAGACAAGGGUGCGUUUUGUUUUGUCCUGGGAUUGGAGUCAGACGUGUGGGUGCCCUCCUCGGCUGGCACCUAACUCUGCACGACCUUGGCCCAGUCACUGCCUCGUUUUCUCUGUCUGCGGUGAAAGACAAGGCCGUCGUUCUAGCCCUGAACUGAGCUCACACAGAGGGACUAGCCAGGAGCGAAGCUCGGGACACCGUUCUGAUGCCUGUGCACUGGGCCGGCCCUGUCCCUUCACGAGGUCACGUCUGUGCUCACAGGGCGGUGUAGGCUGGGGGAGGCCAGAGUGGUCGGGAGCUUGUCCUGAGGCCUGGGCACGGCUCGCUGGUGACCAGAUGGGUUCCCGGCUGUAUUAAGCCCGGCUUACUCCUGAAUUUCUUAACGGAAGUCACACCCAGCCUCCAGGGGUUGGGACGCAGAGUCUGGAAGAGGUCUUUUGAAAUCCCCAAAGGGCAGGUAGUGAGCGGAUGCAUAAGAGCGUGGUGGCCCAUCACCUUUGUAGUUCGAGAUACUAAGCACAGCAGGUGCUGUUUACUGCUGACUGUGCUUACUGUGGGCCUCACACAGUCUUCCCCUGUUAGGAGCUGGGAGCCCUUGGCUCAGAGGAGGAAGUUGAGGGGCAGAGGGGCGGUUACUUGCCCAGCGUCUCGGUGCUGGUGAGUGGAGGAACCUGGGUGCAGACUCACGUCAACGAGGUUUCCUCUCACCUGAGGAUGUUUAAGUGCAGGGUUCAGACCACUCCUAGGCCUGGCGGGGUACCCUGGCUGGAGGGCUUUCUGGGGUAGGAGGUGGCUGCAGGUGGGGAGGGAGGGAGGUGCAGGACGUGGGUGGGGCCCUGCCUUUCUAUUUGUGCUGUGUCUCUGGCCUUGGACACCUUCUUCCCCACGCUCCGCCAUUCUCAGAGUGGCUGCCACGACACGUCUCUGGGGAGCCCCUGGUGCCCGGGGUGGGAUGCCAGCGGCCUCUGUCACACGAGGCAUCUCAGCGCUGGUUUUACCGCCCACCCCGCCUCCUGGAGCAAGCCCAGUGCCUCUGUGUUCCUGGAUUGUCUUAGAGGUGAUCAGUGUUUGGAACUCCGACUUGACCUCCUCUCCCCUGGCUGCUGUCAUCCUGCUGGUGCUGAGUCACGAGGCAGGUUCGGCCGCUCCGGGAGGGAGCCCAGUCCCGCCUCGGACCCAGGUCCCCAGCAAGAGCCCCCCUGUGGUCCUGUCGGGGACCAGGGGGAUUCUUCUGGCUCCUAGGCCAGAUGAGGGGCUAAGGUGAAAGGUCUUUUUGGGCCUUCCCCACCCCCGCUGCACUGUUACCGCUGUUCGUUUUCCUGUUGUAUCAAGAGGGUUUGACCCACUGUUGAGACUCAUGGAAUCCAAUGGAACCUGUUCAGGGCCGACACCACAGCAGUGCUGGGCACAUGGUUGGGUCAGCUGCCCAGGGGUCCCUCUGUGGCUCGCUCUGUGCUCCCCUUUGUGGUUGGUAGAAGCCCUCGGAAUUCCCUGCUCAGUACGUGGAGGGUGCUGAUUGGCGUUGGAUGACCAGGGGGGACGUAGCACCGGGAGCGUUGGACAGUGCUUUCCAGGUUGCAGGGUGCUGUCGCCUCUUUGACUUACGGGGACCCUGGCGUUCCGACCAUGGCUCCUUCCUGGGGCUCCACUUGGCUGCUCGGUAGUGCGGCCAGCCCUGGGGCCUGUUAGGAAGCACCUGACGCGUGUGGUCGCAGACAGGGAAGAGCAAGGUGCUGAGUGGAACUUCUUGUAGCUCAGAAUAAAUUGAAUCAUGCUAAUGGCUCACCCCUGGAUUCAUCUGCUCCAAGGUUAUGUGUCCUUGUUUUGCUGUUUGCGGCAUUCUGCAGUCGGGGAUCUCACAUCCCUCACCCAGGCUGUGUUGCGUGAAUCUUGGGGUCACCCAGAGGGCCCCCCCGCCCCCACACAAAUGUGGUGGUCUUCUGGAGCAGGAUGUGAAAAGCACAUUUUUAUUAUUUACACACUGCAGGCAGGUGGGCCUCCACUCAGAAGUAUUCUGCUAACAGUAAGUCUUAAAAUGAAUGUCCUUUUUGGAUUAAAUCUGAUUUGGGGGAAUUUCAGUUUGUAUAUUUUGAGAGACUGAAGAAGCAUUUAAUAUUCUGCAGCUAGCUCAAAGGGUGUGACACUUGGUAGGUCACUUUUGGUUUAGAUUGAUAACGGAGCUAUAUUUGGGAAACAGUCUGACUAUGACAAUUUAAAGCUUAAAAAAAAAAAAAAUUAAGACACUGAGUCAUGCUUGCAAAAAGAAGCAGUCGGUGCUGCCCGACAGCGAUGCAGAGCCCGGCCGGCCCUGUGGAGAUGCCUGCAGAGCCCGCUGGCCCUGGGGAGGUGCCUGCAGAGCUCGCCGGCCCUGUGGAGGGGCCUGCAGAGCCCGCCGGCCCUGUGGAGGUGCCUGCAGAGCCGGCCGGCCCUGUGGAGGGGCCUGCAGAGCCCGCCGGCCCUGUGGAGAUGCCUGCCGAGCCGGCUGGCCCUGGUGCAAAGCAGCCUUCAUUUGCAUCCCGCAGGUGAGGCGGGUCUUCCUCCUUGCUUCCCUCCCCGCCCCCACCGCGUGUGGGAGCUGCUGCGGGGGCGGGGCCGCUGAGGCUAGAGGUGGGCCACCUGCAGGACUUGGCUGCGGUCCCUGUACCUGCAGGUGGCGAGCACCCAGGAGUGUCCCCGUAGCUGUCUGCUGCUGUUGAGUUGCUCAGGGGAGUGAGGCCCCUGAGGUUGAGGACAUCGUCUUCAAGGCAGAGAAGGGAGCGUCUUUCCUGGCGUCUUUCCUGGCGAGGGGCCCAGCACCCCUGCUGCUGCAGGUGCCCGCCUGCCUGAGCGUCUGCCUGAGCCUCCUCCUGAUCUGCGCGUCCCUUUAGCCUUUUGCAGUCUGGCCUCACACACGCGCCGUGGUGGCUCCCUUGAAGGUCACAGGUGGCUAGGGAAUUCCUGGUCAUGCGUCUGCUGGCAUUUUUUGACCUCUCAGUCUUACUUCACAGGGCUGACCCUUGCUGGAGUUCUGUUGUAGCAGACUAUACCGGCUUUUCCUCCUCUUCUCUUCUCGCGUCGACCAGGGUGUGAGACUUUUCCAAGGACCCGAGCUCUCCUGUCCUGUCCUCACCUCUCCCCACCCACUUGUUUUUUAGCGCAGUGAGGUAGCUCCCGGGUCCGCUUCACAAUCCCAGGGGCCACCCACAACCUCAGACUCCGCGGUGUGAAAUCUUGGGACUGUCACUGCCCUCCCCACCCCCCACCCCCGACUUUUUAAUACGUGCAGACGUACCGCAGCCCUGAGAGACGGCCAGCGAUCGCUGAUGGCCGUGGUGAGUCAGCAGCUGCUAACAUUCUGCACGCGGGCCUUAUCUGUGCGUGUGUGAAAAUGUGUUUCCCCAAGCCCUUGGUAAGCCAGGAGUAGGCGUGGUGACGCCUCACCUCGUGCUGUAGCUUGCAUCUUGUUUUUAAAAGAUUUAUUUAUUUAUUUGAAAGGCAACAGCAGUGGUGCGUGGAGGAGGUGUCUUCCUUCUGCUGGGUCACUCCCCAGAUGGCUGCAACACCUGGGGCUGGGCCACGCUAAAGCCAGGAGCCAGGAGCUCCACCCAGGUCUCCCACGGGGGUGGCAGGGGCCCAAGCACGUGGGCCGUCCUCUGCCGCUUUCCCGGGCACGUUGGCAGGGAGCUGGGUCAGAAGGGGAGCGUCUGGAGCUCAAACUGGCACUCGUACGGCUGCUGGCAAUGCAAGCAGUGGCUUAGCCCAUCGUGCCACAGUGCCAGACUCCCGCUCACAUCUUUUAAAGCUGGAGCAUUCAGCUGCCUGUGGCCUCCAUUCCAGCCUGUCCUCAGUUCUUCGUUAGAAGUGGUGCCUCUUGCAGCCUCUGCUUGAAUUUCCUCUCUGCAGCCCUGGUCUGCUCACUGCCUGGACUGCCCUCGCCGCCUCUGGCCUCCCUCCCCUUGGGCUGUGUCGCGACCCAGUCUCCUGUCAAGCCUGAGGUUGUCACUGAAGGCCCCUCUCCUGCAGGUCCCGCUCUGUCUACCUCAUCAGCCCGCUGCCAGCAGCCGGACUGCCUGUUCAGUUCGCCCCUGCUGUUUUGGGAGCCUCUCGAGAAGCAGCCACUCCCAAGUGCGUGCUGCGACUGAUGGAGAGCUCGGCGACCACUUAGCGACUGACGGAGUUCACCCUCACUUACCUGUGAAGGCCUCCGGCUUGUGCUGGAGCUGUGUGGGCCCCUGCCGGCCAGCUCAGCCCCACCCCAACCCCUCUGCAGCGCUCAUGCUGGGUGACUAGACCAUGUAACUUAUUGCCCACGCUGGGUCCUUUGAGAGCUGAAAAAUUAUUCUGGAGAGGCAGAUACGGACAUUCUAACACUAAGAAGCACAGACUCGUCAACGUACCCCGUGCUGUGGUUCACACUGGCAACUUCCUUCAGAGGGCGCCCAGGUGGGGCACCUGCCGGGUGGGCCAGGGUAGAGCUGGCCUCACCUGUGGCUGGAAGGCAGCAGGAGCCUCAGCAGUAGCGGAACUGACUGGUGGCCCAGGCUGGGUUGAGGAGAGGCUGUACUCUACGAAGCAGUGAAAAGUCUCCCAGCUUGUUGUUGCCGCUCCGGCUCUCCCUGCCAGCCUUGGCACCGUGGCUCUGAGCAAACUAGAGGAAGCACCCAUGUAACAUUCAGAGACUGCCGAGUCCGAGUGCCGUCGGUGACUCCGGGCCCUGGGUGGGAGCACCCUCUCUUCACAGCCCCGCUUUCCCAGCUUGUCAAGGGGACGUGAUCCUGCCUGUCCUCUGAGCGGCUGUAGUCACCCGAGAGCACCUGGCGGGUGCAGGUUCCCACACAUGGGUUUCCAGAACUCACCAAGAGUGCGAAUGGGUGUUAGCAUGAGGCUGCGGCGCUGGCGAUGAGCCUGUGGCCCAGCAGGCCUUCGUGCUCUGCCUGCAUUGCGACUGGGCCCUGUGAGAGUGACUGCGCAGCCUGGAGUGGCAGGGGUUGUGCCAGGCCUGUUGGUUUGAAGGCAUCAGAGACCAUCUAUUAAAAAUUCAUAAGCCACGCCCUGUUUGUUGGUUAAGGGAAUGGGAACAUAAAUAGCAGUGUUUCCCCAAGGCCAGCCGCGUGCUGUCUCCCGGGGCCUCCGGCAGUGCAGCCUGGUCUGGAUGGCCCUCCAGGUCCUCUGAAAACCCUGUUGAGGGGCCGGUGUUGUGGCAGCAGGUUAAGCCACCACUUGCGAUGCCCACGUCCCAUAUCAGAGCGCCGAUUCGAGUCCCGGCUGCUCCACUUCCAUCCAGCUUCCUGCUGAUGCACCUGGGAAGGUAGCAGAAGGUGACCCAAAUGUUUGGGCCCCCUGCACCCAUGUGGGAGACCAGGAUGGAGUUCCAGGCUCCUGGUUGUGACCGUUUAGGGAGUGAACCAGCGGAAACCCUUUCCCUUUCUCUCUGUCACUCUGCCUUUCAAAUAAUAAGUUAAUUAAAAAAAAAAAACCUAUCAAUGUCAGAAGGUUCAGUUGCCUUUUUUUUAAAAAAAGACUGAUUUAUUUGAAAGAGUUACAGAGAGAGGGAAACACAGGGAGGGGUCUUCCAUCCCCUGGUUCAUCCCCAAGUGGCUGCAAUGGCCAGAGCAGAGCAGGCUUAAGCCAGGAGCCAGGAGCUUCAUCCAGGUCUCACGUGGGUGGCAGGAGCCCAAGCACUUGGGCCAUUUUCUGCUGCUUUUCCUAAGCCAUUAUUAGCAGAGAGCUGGAUCAGAAGUGACACCUCCAGGACAGGAACCAGUGCCCAUAAGGGAUGCUCGUCUCACAGGCGGUCGCUUUACCUGCUGUGCCACAAUGCCAGCCCCGUCACUCUGCCAUUCAAACAAAUCUUUAAAAAAAAAAAAAAAAGGCAGCAAGACACAGAGAAAGAGGCAAGAAACAGCUCCUGACCCCUGGUACACUGACCACGUGUUUGCAGCGACUGGAGCUGGAGCCAGGAGCCAGGAGCUCAGUCCUGCUUCCCACGUAGGGGGCGGGGACCCCAACACUUGAGCGUCACCGCUGCCUCCCAGGGUCUGGUGAGCAGGAAGAUGGAGUCAGGAGUUGGAAGCAGGACUUGAACCCAGGCACUCUGGCAUGAGAUCUGGGUGUCUCAACCAGCAUCUUUUUUUGUUUGGAAGGCAGAGUUACAGAGACAAAGAAGAGACAGAGAUCCUUCAUCUACUGGUUCACUCCUCAAAUGGCCGUGAUGUCUGGGGCUGGGCCAGGCCAAAGCUAAGAGCUUGGAACUACAUCCAAGUCUCCCACAUAGGUGGCAGGGGCCCGAGUACUUGGGUCACCCUCUGCUGCUUUCCCAGGUGCACCAGCAGGGAGUUGGAUCCAAAGUAGAGCAACCAGGACUCGAACCUGUGUAUGUAUGGGAUGCCAGCAUCGCAGGUGGCAGCUUGACCUGCUGGGCCACAAUGCAGGCCUCUCAGCCAGUAUCUUUUUUUUUUUUUUUUAAUAUUUAUUUAUGUACUUAUUUGAAAGGCAGAGUUAGAAGCAGAGGCAUCUGUGGUUCACUCCCCCAGAUGGCUGUCAUGGCCAGAGCUGGGCCGAUCUGAAGCCAGUAGCCAGUAGUUUCCUCUGGGUCUCCCAUGCAUGUGCAGGGGCCUAAGGACUUGGGCCAUCCUCCACUGCUUUCCCAGGCCAUAGCAGAGAGUGAAAUCAGAAGUAGAGCAGCCGGGACCAGAACCAGAACCCAUAUGGGAUGCCCGCACUGCAGAUGGCAGCUUUACCCGCUAUGCCACAGUGCCGGCUUGGUCAACCAGUAUCUUAACUGGUAAACCAAAUACCCACUCCCAGUGCCCCACUUUAGAGAGGGAGAGACAGACCCAGCGAGUGCCUGUAGCUGUCCUGAGGCCUGUUUGUGCUGUCAAAGCACAGAUUCUUCUCGCUGGCUGCAUGGCAGCCCUGCACCGGGCCAGGGCUGUGGGGAGCAGGGCCUCCCGGGUCGGGGGCUGCAGGCUUUCUGGAGAGAUCCGGGUGGUGUUUAGGGUUCACAGGCUACACUGACCCUUUUGUAGCUGCUCAGCUUUGCCGUUGCAGCGUGAAAGCAUGGCUGUGUUCCAAUGAACCUGUAUUCUGAAAACCAGGCAGCGAGCUGGAGGUGGCCCAGAGGCUCUAGAAGGGUCUCGGCCGAUAGGGAGAAACGUGAGCCGCACUGGAACAGGCGGGAACGGCCGACGUUCACGUUCACGCAUCGGCUUGACCCGGUGCACUGAGAACACCGUGUCUGCAGGUAGUCGGUAGGAAAGUGGUGAAGGGGACAGAGCACGUCCUGACCCAGCGGCUGCCCUCGUGGACAGCCGUGCGCCUGGAGCGACUGGGCGGCAGGAGCUCUGGCCCCUGCCCCCGCUCAGCGGUGUUUCUAAACUGCACCUUGCAGUUUUGAGAUGGAAUCACUUCCUGUCCUGUCUGCUCUCUCCCCGGCCGGGAAGUGAGCGCAGCUCGGGACACCUUGUUCUCCGCUUUGCCCUCCGUUUCUGGGCCUAGAGUAGGUGCUUUGUUUCAUGAGUGAAUGAGUUACCACUGGGAGGUGGCGAGGGCCUCCUGGUGAAGUUGGCGCCGAGUUCUGAGGGAGGGCGGUGGGCAGUGUGGGGAGAGCCUCGUGGAGGCGGCCUAGAGGAUCAGCUGGCGCAGCAGAGUGGGAGGGCGGGGCAGGCACAGUGCAUUCCAGCUCCUGCAGCUGAAACACUGCUAGGACCCCGGUGAGCUUUUUCAUGCUGGGUCUUCCCUGUGAACAUUUGCCACAUAGGAGAUUAAACCGAUUUUAAAAUCCGAGAGCGCUCAGGCACGUGUUCGAUUAGCCGUCAGAGCAACGGCGUCAGCACGCGUCCUGCAGGCUCCAGAAAAUCCCGCUGUAGACUUGAGCGGGUGAGAGUCGGGGAGGCAAGAGCGGUCGAGUGCCACUGUGGGUGUGGACUCCCGAAAGGGUCUCUCUCCGGGAUCUCCGGGCCAUGUUUUGAGAGCUGCUGAGCUAGAGGUAGGAGGGAGAAGACAGGAGCAAGUGCCGGUCUGCAGGGUUGGGUCUGACGGCCACUAAUGGUCAUGGUGCGCAGGUGUUGUGCACCCGCUGUGUUCCGGGCACCUCGGGCAGCACUGUGGGCAGCACUGUGUGUUCAGGUUUAAGCCUCACCUGCAGCACCUGUGAAUUUGGUGGUGGUGGUUUACAGGUGUAGGGAGGUCUGAGGCUGUGCUGGGUCACACAGAGGGGAGGGAAGGGGCUAAGCCCCCGCAGUGCCCCCAGAGCCUCGUGCUCGGCUGCCCUGGAAAGAUGUGGCAUCAGGCGUGGUGUGCAGGAUGACAGGGAUGACGGGGCUGGGAGUUGGGAUUUGUGGGUUUGUAGAGCGAGGCUCCCUCCAGAGUGUGCAGAGGACGGUCUGGUGGCAGUCCCCAGGUGGGGAGGCGAGCUGGUCACAUGUCUGGUCACAUGUCCAUGCACAGCAUGAGGUGUGGAAAUAGAACUAAUUUUUUUCAGGGUUAUUCAUUUGAAAGGCAGAGUUUGAGAGAGGGAGAUUGAGAUUGAGAUCUUUCGUCUGCUGGUUCACUCCCCAGAUGGCUGCAUCCACUAGGACUGAGCCAGGCCAAAGCCAAGAGCCAGGAGCUCCGUCUGGAUCUGCCUUAUGGGUGCAGGCACUCCAGCACUCAGGCCGUCUUCAUGCCUUCUCAGGCGCGUUAGCGUCGAGCUGCAUCAGAAGUGGGACAGCAGGGACCUGAGCUGGCGUUGCAGGCUGCUGGCGUGGUGAGCAGCUGCUCCACGCAGUGCUGGUGCUGGUCCUGAAGUGCUGAUUCUAAACAAAAUGGCUCUUCCCUGUGAGCCCACACCUUCCUCCAGCCUUCCGUGGAAGAGAGCGAUGCAUUCCAGUGCGAGCGGGAAAAUCACCUGUAUUGGAUUUAACGGAUUUUUCAAGGAUGAUUUUGAUGAUGUUGAGUUUGACCUUAGGACCGAACCCCCGGUAAAAUGAGGACUCUUGGCUCUAAAAGGGCAGCAGUAAAGCUCUGGUUAGAGUGGUGGAGAGAGAGGAAAAGGGGCGUUUAGGUGGGGCUGGCACACGGCAGAGCCGGGUGCACUUGGGGGAGGCAGGGCAGGAGAGUGGGCAGUGCUGUGCUGGGACUUUUCCAUCAGCAGGAGGGAAUGAACCGUUCAGGUGUCUGUCUGCUGUGGUGGACACAUAGCAGAACUGACCAUUUCAGCCAUUUCUACGUGAACAGCUCAGUGGUGCUCAGCACAUUUGGCAGCCAUCGCCACCAUCCAGAACCGGACGGAAGCUGUGCACCUGUCAAACACUGACUCCCCAGGCCGUUACAGUUUAUGUUGCUCUUAGCAAAGUGACAGGAGUUCACUGGAGACAUUCACCUGCAUAGGGGGAUGAGAACCAGAGGUGCAGCCGGGACGCCGGCGUCUCGUGUACACAGUCCUGCUGCCAGUAGCCGUGUGAACAGAACGGGGCUAAGGGUGCUAUGGCAGGAAUACUGGUCCCCGCCCCCGUGUCGGGUUAGUCCCCAAGGUCCUCUGUUAAUGGUAUUAAGAGGGCAGAAACUUGAUCCAGCUUUGGAGUUGAGAGGCGGGGCUCUGGAAAGUGAUUAGGUCAGGGCAGGUCAUUUAGGGUGGGGCCCCGGGCCUGGAUCCCAUUGGAGGAGGAGAAACAUCAUAGGGACAUGGGAACACCUGCACCCCAACCUUGAUGUGGCGUGGCCAGGGGAAGCCCUUGCCGGAACCUACGUCAUGCGGAUUGGACCUUGUACUUCCGCGACCGUGGGCCGGUAUGAACCUGUUUUCUUUGUAAGAUAGCCUGCAUCAGGUAUUUCAGUGUAGUAACAGUCAGGAACCUGGGUGGGCGUUGUGGUGCAGCGGGUUUAGCUGCUGUGUGGGUGCCCGCAGUCCACAUCAGAAUGCUGAUAGAGUGCCCCGUGCUGGUUUCCUGCUUCCAGUCCACCUUGCUGUUCGUGCAUACCCUGGGAGGCAGCAGAUGAUGGCUUAAGUCCUUGGGUCCCUACCAGCCAUGUGGAAGACCCAGAUGGAGUUCCAGGCCCUUGGCUUCAGGCUGGCUCACUCUGCCUUUCAAAUAACUUUUCAAAUGUUUGUUUUCAUUUUAUUUGAGAGGUGGUGCGACAGAGAGAGCUUCUAGCAUUAGACAGCUGGAUCGGAAGUAGAGGAGUCGGGUCUCAGCCCAGGCAUCUGACGCGCGUGCACGUGUCCCAGGUGGCAGCCUCACCUCGCCACACACCUGCCCUCACUGUGUUUUGAAAUAGACCUGACCUCUUUUAGAUUUGUAGAAGAGUUGUAAAGAUCGUACAGAAAGUCACCUAACAUCUUGUAUGCUGGGUGUAUUGAUAAGAAGAAAUUAACACGGUCCCACACUAUUAACUAGACACUUAAAAAAAAAAAAAGAUUUAUUUAUGCAUUUGAGAGGCAGAGAGAGAGAGAGAGAUCUUUCAUCUGCUGGUUCACUCCCAGACGGCCGCAACGGCUGGAGCUGAGCCGAUCCAAAACCAGGAGCCAGGAGCUUCUUCCCAGCUCCUACGUAGGUGCAGAGGCCCAAGGAUUCAGGCCAUCUUCUGCUGCUUUCCCAGGCCAUAGCAGAGAGCUUGAUCAGAAGUGGAGCAGCCGAUUCACCCAUAUGGGAUGCCGGCACUACAGGCGGUGGCUUUACCCACUAUGCCACAGCAUCAGCCCCUAACUAUACACUUUUAUUGGGAUUAGCUUUCUACUUAUGUUCUAUUUCUGAAACCAGCAGCCAGGUGCUUUAUCCAGGUUCCCACAUGGUUGGCAGGGGCCCAAGUGCUUGAGCCAUCACCUGCUCCCUCCCAGGAUGCAUUGCCAUCACCUGCUCCCUCCCAGGGUGCAUUUGUAGGAAGCUGGAUUGGAAGAAGGGUAGGUGGGGCUUGAACCAGCUCUGAUGUGGGACACCCACAUGUUGAGUGGCGACUUACCCUGCUGUGCCCAAACACCGCCCUACUGGCUUCGUCUCGACUUUGGGUGCCUUUGCCUGUCAUCCCGGAGAGUGGCGCCAGUUGGCGUGUCCAUCGUGGGAUGCUGCUCUCCCUGCACGGGGUGGCAGUAUGUGCUGAUGCUGAAAGGCUGGGCCUUCAUCUGGCUCUGCCCCGCCCUGCCGCCCGUGGCCUCCCUGGGCUUUGCAGGGAGACUGGUCUGGGUGUGCCCUUUGCUCAGGGGAUGCAGUGCUGGGUAGGGGCUGGACCAGAGGAUGUUCAGUGAGCCAGGAGAGGCAGGUGGUGGCUCAGAUCUGGGGUGGAGUGGAUAUGUAGACAGGACUAGAAAAGACCGAAUCUCUUCUCUUUUCUUUCUUUCUUUCUUUCUCUCUCUCUUUUUUUUUUUUUUUUUUUUUUUUAGAUUUGUUUAUUUGGGGCCAUCGUUGCACAGUAGGUUAAUCCAGUGAACCAGUGUAUGGAAGACCUCUCUCUCUCUGUAACUCUCUCUCUCAAAUAAAUAAAUAAAUCUUAGAGAGAGAGAGAGAGAUUUAUUUAUUUAUUUGAAAGGCGUUACAGAGAGGGAGAAGUAGAGGCAGAGAAGUCUUCCAUCUGCUGGUUGACUCCCCAGAUGGCCACAACAGCCAGGGCUAGGCCAGGAUGAAGCCAGGAGCUUCUUGCAUGACUCCCUUAUGGGUGCAGGGGCCCAGGCACUUGGGCUAUUCUCCGCUGCCUUCUCGGGCACAUCAAUAGGGAGCUGGAUUGGAAGUGGAGCAGCUGGGACUGGAACCAGUGCCCAUAUUGGAUGCUGGCAUUGCAGAUGGCGGUUUAACCCACUCCUCCACAGCGCUGACCCCAGACAGAAUCUCAUACGGUUAUUGGAUAGUGAACUAGGUCACCUGUGAGCGACAUUCAGCACAGCCCGGCUCUGCCUCCGUUUCCCCGUCGUGGUUAGCAGCUCACACAACACAUGAUUCCAGGUUUAGGGGGGCUAUUCCUGUUAGUUUGCAAACCUGAAGGCUGAUUUUAAAUUCAUAUUUAUUUAAGUAGAUUAUAUGUGCAAAUGACAUAGCAUUCAAAAGACUUAAAAGGCUAUGAAGGGUCCUCAAAAUCUCUUGAAAAUGUGUAUUAUAAAAGCAUGGAUUUCGAAAAUUUUUUUCCACCAAAAUCAACUUCUCUUCUUAAUCUGUUUUUCCACGAACUUGUUGACAGAUGCCCAUAGACAGUGAAGUAUUUGUCUCCUUCCUACCACGUCCACUUCCCAUCACUGUGACCAGAUACAUUCUUUGCAAAUUCUAGCACACACGUGUGUACAGUCGCUGUAGAUCGAAUUGAUGUGAAUAGUGGCUUCUGAGGCCAGCGAGCCUGGCUUUGCAGUCCAGCCUUUCUCUGCCUCAGCGCAUGCGGCUGUGCGGCCUCCAUUGGUGCCACAUUCCCUCAGCUGUGGCCCUCCUGCCUGCCUGUUGGGGGGCAUUUAAGGUCACUCUGGGGAGAGACCAGCUCUGCCUCUGGGGACAGGGCAGGGAUCCUCGUUCCUCUCUCAGGGCAGGGACCCCUCGUUCCUCUCUUAGGGCGGGGUUUUCUCAGCAGCCAGAAGGGGUCAGUGAUGGCUGGAGACUCCGAGGUAUUAGAGUCGAAACAGACAUGUGAGGGCACAGAAGGCUUUUUUUCUUUUAAUAUUUAUUUAUUUAUUUGAAAGGGAGAGUUACAGAGAGGCAGAGGCAGAGAGAGAGAGAGAGAGAGAGGUCUUCCAUCCACUGGUUCACUCCCCAAACAACCGCAGUGGCCAGAGCUGGGCUGAUCUGAAGCCAGGAGCCAGGAGCUUCCUGCAGGUGCAGGGGCCCAAGCACUCGGGCCAUCCUCCACUGCUUUCCCUGGCCACAGCAGAGAGCUGGAUGGGAAGUGGUGCAGCCGGGACUCAGCAGGCAGUGGCUUUACCACGAUGCCACAGCACCAGCCCCCAGAGGUGUUUGUUUGUUUUUUAAACAAACCUCAGGUGAAAAAGUAUUCCCAGAAACCUCUCCAAGUGUCGUUCAGCUGCACGCCUGCAUUUUGCCCCAGUCAUGGUUGCUCCCUGGGGGCUGGUGUAGUGGUGCAGGGCGUUAAGCUGCCCCUUACAGCACCGGCGUCUUGUUCACCAAGUCCUGGCUGCUCUGCUUUGGAUCCAGCUUCCUGCUAAUGUGCCUGGGAAGGCAGCAGAUGAUAGUCCCAAGUAGCUGGGCCCCUGCCACCCAUGGGAGACUCUAACAGAGCUCUUGGCUUCCCUCUGGCCCAGCUCCAGCUUCUGCAACCAUUUGGAGAGGGAACCAGCAAAUGGGAGGUCUCUGUGUUUCUCCCUUUCUGUAUCAAUCUGCCUUCCAAAUAAAUACAUCUUUUUUAAAAAAAAAGAUAUAUUUAUUUAUUUGAAAGUCAGAGUUAACACAGGGAGAGAAGGAGAAGCAGAGAGAAAGAGGUCUUCCAUCUGCUGGUUCACUCCCCAGGUGGCCACAACAGCUGGAGCUGAGCCAGUCUGAAGCCAGGAGCUUCUUCCAGGUCUCCCACAUGGGCACAAGGGCCCAAGCACGUGGGCCAUCUUCUACUGCUUUCCCAGCCAUAGCAGGGAGCUGGAUCGGAAGUGGAGCAGCUGGGACCUGAACCAGUGCCCAUAUAGGAUGCCAGCACUGCAGGAGGUGGCUUUACCCUCUAUGCCACAGCACUGGCAUCAAAUAAAUAAAUCUUUAAAAGGAGAAAGAAAAGAAAAAAUAGAACUGCUCACUUGGAGUUAGGGUUCGGUCUGGGCCCCCCAGAGCUCCUUGCAGAAGCCACGAUCGUACGCUCAGAGGGCGCCACAACCCACAUGAAGAGGCUGUUUGCCGUGCCCAGGCUGAGUUACGGCAGCCAAUGCUUGGGCCGCCUGUUUCUUUCAGGGGACUCCAGGGAGCCAUUUCUCAGUGCAGCUCACGGUAGGCGAUGGCCGUGGCCUUCCGCUCCCCGGGGAGUGCGAGGGAAUUCCCUUGGGAGAAUGCAUUUGCCUACCUGUCAAGGUCUGCACCCUCUCUGACCCUGCCCCAGACCUGUGCCUCUCACCUGAGCGCGGGAGCAGUUUACAGCUGUGCUCACUGUGGGCGCUCCUUGCCUGACCAGAGUGAUCCCUGCAUCUAGGUGCCUGGGUACCUCCAUGCCUGCAGUCGGGGGGUGGCAGAGGGAUGCUAGUGGUGACGUAAAGUUCAGGAACCAAGGUCCCCAGAGGCUGUGUGGUUGAGACCAAGGCAGAUGGGAGCCACAAGCAAGACGGGGAAGAAGAGGUGCUGGGAGCUCACGGCGUCGGCUUUCCAAGAGCAGGGAGCCGGUGGUUAAUUGCAGUGGAGACGGGUUCUGGUUGACAAACAGAAUCUGUAAUGUAGGGACUUACACGGGACCCUGUUACCCAGAAGACUUUCCAAGAAGACUCCCUGCUACAGACCCCGGAGCCAGACACUGUCGCUGACUGGGGCUCAACCUGGCUGGCCUUUUUUUUUUUUUUUUAAUUGAGAUGAUUGACAUAGAAUCAAAUGGAUCCUUUUCAAUUCAGGAUUUUUUUGUACAUCCAUCACCACAGCCAGUCUUAGACUUUUCAUCACCCCCUAAAAAACCCAUACCCAUUAGCGGUCACACCCUCUUUCCUGUCACCCCAACCCUAGUAGCCACGUUCUGUCUCCAUUGGUUUGCUUGUUCCGGAGAAACCAGGAGCCCAGAACUCCACCUGUGGGUGCAGGGCUCCAAGCACUUGGGCCAUCUGCUGCUGCUUUCCCAGGCACACUGGCAGGGAGCUGGGUUGGAAGUGGAGCAGCCAGGACAUGAACCAGUGCCCAUAUGGGAUGUUGGCUUUUCAGGCAGUGACUUUACCCGUUGUGCCACAGUGCCAGCCCUUGGCUUCUUUCUGAGCAUCGUUUUUUAAAAAUUUGUAUGUGUUGUAGUAUACCAGAACUUUAUUCCUUUUUUGGUUUUUAAAGAAUUUAUUUGAAAAGCCGGGAGAGAUUUUUCAUCUCUUGGUUCAUUCCCCAAAUGGCUUCAACGGGCAGGGCUUGGCUGGGCUGGGCUGAAGCCAAGAACCUGGAGCUCCAUCUGGGUCUCCCACAUGAGAGGCAAGGACCUAAGUACUCGAGCCGUCAUCCGUUGCCUUCCCAGCCGCGUUAGCAGGGAGCUAAAUGGGAACGGAGCAGCCAAGACUCAAAAUGGUGCUCCAAUGUGGGCAGCCAGCAUUGCAGGUGGCAACCUGACCACUGCACCACAAUGCCAGCCCCUGCGUCUAACUUUUUAAAAAAGGUAUUUGAGAGAGAGAGAGAGCGCUCCCAUUUGCUGGUUCACUCCUCAAACGCCUUGCAGCAGCCACCUGUCUGGCAGGUGCCCUGUCAUUGUUACUGGGCUCUGUGCCAGGCAUCUUACCUUGUGCUGGGAUUUAACCCCCUGCCUAGUUAGAUACGCUGUAAGGGACUGGAGACCCUCAGAAACCGAAAGGGCUUGGAGUCCUAAGAACCCGGGUGCUCGCGCCCCCUCUGCUGCCUCCCAGUCUGCGUUGGCAGGAGGCUGGACUUGGGUGCCAGGGCUGGGUGUGGAAUCCCGCACUGCAGCGUGGGCUGUGGGUGCCCUGACCUGCGCGUAACCACCAGGCCACCCCCCACCCCUGUGUUUGGCUUGCUCGGCAGGGCAGCUGUGCCAUUUUGCAUUCCCACCGGCCUUGUGUGUGUGUUCCUGUUUCUCCACUUCCGCGCCAGCGCUUGGACUGUCGGCUGUGCUGUUCACAGCCACCCCCGUGGUGUGGAGCAGUUGUGCAUUGAGAUUUGAGCUUCUCCCGUGGCUGAUCACGCUGAGCGUCUUCGUGGCUUACUGGCCAUUUGUCUCCAGCAAAUCCUUCGCGUGUUUUUGCUUUGGGAUGUCUGUCGACUUUGCAUUCAGAGCCUCCCUCGCCCUCGUCCCCGUGGGGUCUGGCAGGUGGACCACAUCUUGCGGCAGGUGCCCUGUCGGUGUCACUGGGGUUUGUGCCCGGCCAGUCUUUAUAUUGGGGUUUAACCAAUGUAAAUAUGCCGUAAGGGAUGUGAGACCCUUAGAAGUGGAAGGGCUUUGUGUCCCAGGUCUUCCCAGGAAGAGGUCCGUUUGUUUUAGAACUGGGAUCCACAGUCGCCCAGGGCAGAGAAGGGGCUGCUAAACAGGUCUUCCCUGACAGUGGGCCAGCCUUCAGCUGCUCACAGCUGCGUGUGCCAGGGACAGUCAGAGUCUUCAGAGGCAGCCACUGUAAUAUCUAUUUUUUAUACAUUAAUCAUUCUUCUUUUUCUGAAUUCUUUCUCUCAUAGAUUAUUUAUUUAAUGGUAAGACAGGAGCCAGGAACUCCAUCUGGGUGUGGGAUACAGUGGUCACAUAACACCCAGGAACUCCAUCUGGGUGAGGGAUACAGUGGUCACAUAACACCUGCUCCCAUAACACCUAUUUAUUUGGGAUCGCUUGUGGUUUGGAUCCUGAUUCUUUUUAUUCAGCAGGAUGAGGAAAUGUUUGUUGACGGAUGGGAACGGGUAACUGAGUCAUUUCUGUAACCAUUUGGCAGGUUGAAAACAGGAUCAUGCUGAAGUGAGUGUGUGUGUCUCUGUGUGUACAUACCCCUGCCUGUGUGUCUGUGUAUAUACAUACCCCUGCCUGUGUGUGUCUCUGUGUGUACAUACCCCUGCCUGUGUGUGUCUCUGUGUACAUACCCCUGCCUGUGUGUGUGUCUGUGUGUGUACAUACCCCUGCCUGUGUGUGUGUCUCUGUGUGUACAUACCCCUGCCUGUGUGUGUGUCUCUGUAUGUACAUACCCCUGCGUGUGUGUGUCUCUGUGUACAUACCCCUGCCUGUGUGUGUCUGUGUGUGUACAUACCCCUGCCUGUGUGUGUCUCUGUGUACAUACCCCUGCCUGUGUGUGUGUCUCUGUGUGUGCACACCCCUGCCUGUGUGUGUCUGUGUGUAUACAUACCCCUUCCUGUGUGCAUACAAGCCCCUGCCUGUGUGUGUGUGUGUGUGUGCAUACCCCUCUUCCUGUGUGCAUACAAGCCCCUGCCUGCUGGUAGGAGGCCCUGACUUUUCCCAGUGAAUCUGGGCUGCUGCCUCCCAGGUCCUCAGUUCGUCAGUAGUGUAGCUGUCUGCACAGUUCGUCAGUAGUGUAGCUGCCUGCUCAGUUCGUCAGUAGUGUAGCUGUCUGCUCAGUUCGUCAGUAGUGUAGCUGCCUGCUCAGGGGCACACGUGCUGCUCUGUAUGCUUGGGACUUUCUUAGUGGUUUUUUGGUAAAGCAGAGAGGCGAGAGGGAGAGAGAUCUGCUGAUUCACUCUCCAGAUGCCUGCAAUAGCAGAGAUGGGCUAGGCUAAAAUCAGGAGCCCAAGCCCCCAUCCAGGUCUCCCACGUGGGUGACAGGGCCCCAAGACUCCAUCCAGGUCUCCUACAUGGGUGACAGGGCCCCAAGACUCCAUGCAGGUCUCCCCCGUGGGUGACAGGGGCCCAAGACUCCAUGCAUGUCUCCCACGUGGGUGACAGGGGCCCAAGACUCCAUGCAUGUCUCCCCCGUGGGUGACAGGGGCCCAAGACUCCAUGCAGGUCUCCCCCGUGGGUGACAGGGGCCCGAGGGCUAGAAUUACCACCUGCUUCUAGGAUGUGCGUUAGUAGGAAGCUGCACUGGAAGUGGAGUAACCAGCGCUCUGAUAUGGAUACUGGUGUCCCAGGCGUCAGCUUAGCCCGCGGCCCCACAGGACCUGGCUCUCAGUGAUGGCUUCAGCACUCAGGGCGUGAUUGAAUGUGUGAGUGUCUAAAAUGUUGCGUAUCCACUGACAACAGUUCUCUUCCACCCGGAGCCUGGCUUUGCCCUGGGUCAUUCUCACUGUCAUACUCAGUCUAUGGAAUUUAACAUUUCUUUGACAUUCAGAACAGAAAGCCAUUUAGAGGAGCAGAUCAGUGACCCUCGUGGUGUCUGAGGAGUUGCUGAUGGAGCCCUGCUUGCUUCUGCACACCCGCGCCCCGGAGCUGAAUCUCAGAAAAGCAGACCCGCGAGAGCCGUCUGAGGGUCUGUUGUCGGCACGGGGUGGGUGAAGCAAACUCAGGAGUUGGAGUUUUGAGUUAGUGAUUUCUGUUUUUGUUGAGUUGUCACCUCGCCUUGAUCGUCAAAUAUGUCCCACUCUUGUGUGUAAAUAGUUUGCAAAAUUAAGAUUAAAAAGCAGUGGUUGGCUGGCGCUGUGGUGUAGCUGGUAAAGCUACCACCUGCAGUGUUGGUUCAAGUCCCAGCUGCUCCACUUCCGAUCCAACUCUCUGCUAUGGCCUGGGAAAACUGUAGAGAGAGCCCAAGUCCUUGGGCCCUACACUCAAGUGGGAGACCCGGAAGAAGCUCCUGGCUCCUGGCUUUGGGUCAGUCCAGCUCCAGCCAUUGUGGCCACUUGGGGAGUGAACCAGUGGGUGGAAGACCUCUCUCUCUCUGCCUCUGCCUCUCUGUAACUCUGCCUUUCAAAUGAAUAAAUCUUUUUUUUUUUUUUUUUUUUAAUCAGUGGUUAGCUUACUUUAGUAAAUAGAGUAGACUGGACACGUCCACUGAUAGCCACUUCCUCCAGAAACCGUGCUAAAAUAAUUUCUUUGUUUAAGAUUUAUUUUACUAGGGCGGGCACUGUGGCGCAGUAGGUUAACACCCUGGCCUGAAAUGCCGGUAUCCCAUAUGGGCACUGGUUCUAGUCCCAGCUGCUCCUCUUCCCAUCCAGCUCUCUGGUAUGGCCUAGGAUGGCAGUAGAAGAUGGCCCAAGUCUUUGGACCCCUGCGCUCACGUGGGAGACCUAGAAGAAGCUCCUGGCUCCUGGCUUCAGAUCGGCGCAGCUUGGGCCGUUGCAGCCGUCUGGGGAGUGAACCAGUAGAUGGAAGACCUCUCUCUCUCUCUCUCUCUCUCUCUCUCUACCUCUCUCUGUAACUCUUUCAAAUAAAUAAAAAAUAAAUCUUUAAAAAAAAGAUUUAUUUUACUUAUUUUGAAAGAGAGGAAGAGACAGAGAGGGUGAGAUUUAUCUUCCAUCAGUUGAUGUGACCCCAGAUGGUCUCAGGAGCCUGGAGCUUCUUCCUGGUCUCCUACGUGGGCAGGGGCCUAAACACUUGGGUCAUCUUCUGCUGCUUUUGCAGGUACAUUAGCAGGGAGCUGGAUCGGAAGUGGAGCAGCUGAGACUUGAACCGGUGCUCAUGUGGGAUGCUGGCAGCAGCUUUACCUGCUAUACCACAAGACUGGCCCCAGGUUUAUACAUUGUAAAAAUUCCUCCACUUUGGGACCAAAAGAGCAUGCUGUUCUCACUUGCUCGCUCGCUCUCUCUCUUUCAAGUAAGAAAAUAAGUAUUUUUUUUUUUUAAGUAUAAACCCACAGGAUAAAGAAGGAAAAAGAAAGUGAUAACAGAGAAGGGAUCUCAAAUAUUGGGAAGACGGAGAAAGGCGAAUGGAAGAGCAAGUAGAUAAAGCAAAAAUGCUGACAGUGGUAGAGGCAGUGAGAGGGGCUUCAGCUUCAGAGAGCCUCAGGCAUCAAAUGCACCUGCAGUCACCCAGAGUGGGAGUGAGAGGUGGGCCUGAGACAGGGGAGGCACAAGUGACUGCACCAGGUUCGGGACGCACCUGCGUAGCAUCCAGCCAUGCCUCACGGCGAACGCCGGCUUCUGCCCAGCUGACCCUCGCUCACCUUCACAAAGCGUCGGUCGUCUUUCGUCUUUCCAUUGCCUCGUUCACAGGGACGCCCGCUAUGCUGCCCUGGUUGCCCCUUAUGCGGUCCUGGAAGGUGUCAGAUCUGGAAGCUGACACUGGCAGAGCAGGUGGUGUGCAGCGCCACGUCCCCGUGACCACCGCAGCGUUCCAGACACGGGACUCAGCGCUCCAUUGCCUCCCUUCUACACAGGAAUGGACAUCCAGAAAGCUCCCAUGUGAAAGGCGGGGCCAGACCAAGUGAAAAGGAAACCAUCUCAGGAAACGCUCGCAACAUGGUGAAGAGACUUGGAAGAAUAAGAGCCAGUGUUCUAGAAAUUGUUUUCUUUAUUUGAGAGACAGACCAGACAGAGAGGAGCUCCCACUGCCAGGAGCCAGGACCUCAACCCAGGUCUCCCCUGUGGGUGACAGGGGCCCAGCUGCUUCCUAAGGUGCACGCUGGCGGGAGGCUGGGGUCAGGAUUGGAGCUGGGCGCUUAACUGGGGCGUGAACCCAGGCACUCUGACACAGGAUGCGGCCGGCUUAGCCACCAGGCCAAACAUCCGCCCAAGAGCCAGUAUUGUAUUCAUGAAUUUUUUUAAAGGGAAUUGUCAAAAUAAACAGGAGAGGCUUCUUGGAAAUUGCAAAUAUAUUUUUAAAAAAGAGUUGACAGAGGCUCCCAGGAAAUGGAAAGGUACUUCAAAAAGUUUGUGGGGGCCGGUGCUGUGGCACACUGAGCUAAGCCUCUGCCUGCAGUGCCAGCAUCCCUUAUGGGAUCCUGGCUGCUUCUCUUCUGAUCCAGCUCUCUGCUACGGCCUGGGAGAGCAGCGGAAGAUGACCCAAGUGCCUGGGCCCCUGCACCCACGUGGGAGACCCAGAGGAAGCUCCUGGCUCCUGGCUUUGGAUUGGUCCAGCUCCAGCCACUGCAGCCAUUUGAGGAAUGAACCAGCAGAUGGAAGAUCUUUCUCUCUGUAACUCUCUCUCUCAAAUAAAUAAAUAAAAUCUUAAAAAAAAAAGUUUAUGGAAAAUGGAAUCCAAAGAUACGUUUAUUUUAGUACAAAAGAAAAUUUGAAAGCCAUAUAGUAUUUCAUAAUAAAACAGGUUUUCCACAAACUUUGAAGACCCUUUAUCUGUAACAUUAAAAAUCUGGCAUCUGUGAAGGAGAGGGGAGAAUCCGGGACGGGAAAUUGCAGCCACGUGGACGCUUCCAGAACUGUCAGCCGUGGGGUCACGGUGGCGAGUGGGAAGCAGGCUAACUGUCGCGCUCUGUGAUCCCAGAACACGGAGAGGGCAAAGCUUUCAGAGAGAACGGGUCGCGCCAAAGGCCGAGAGUGAAGAAGCUAAAGGCAAUGAUUCCUGUUUCGGUAACUGGGUAGUGGAGCUAAAGUAGAACCACUCCUGCUUCAGUUCCUUAGCGGUGCGGCUCUCUGCGGAUAUAAUGGAGAUUUGAAGUGCAUAGCUGAGCGUAUAGGAAAGAAAAGGGUAACAAAGAAUUAAAGCAGGAACUUACAGCCAAAGGGAGAGGCAGGCAGCUCUCAGGGUGUUUACUGGACUCUGUGGUCGGCCCUAACAAGAGUGGAGGAUUGUAAUUUUUUGAAGAAAAUAUUUAUUUAUUUGAAAGCCAAGAGUUACAGAGAGAGUGAGCGAGCUUGCAUUUGCUGGUUCACUCCCCAGAUGGCCACAAUGGCUGGGGCUGGGCCAGGCUGAAGCCAGGAGCCGGGAGCUGCUCCUGGGUCUCCCACGUGGGUGCAGGGGCCCAAGGACUUGGGCAUCUUCUGCUGCUUUCCCAGGACACAGCAGAGAGCUGGAUCGGAAGUGGAGCAGCUGAGACACAAACCAGUACCCACAUGGGAUGCCUGCGCUGCAGGAGGCAGCUUUACCUACUAUGCCACACACUGGCCCUGGAGGAUUUUUUUUUUUAAGAUUUAUUUAUUUGAAAGUCAAAGUUACAGAGAGAAGGAAAGGGAGAGAGAGAUCUUCCAUCUGCUGGUUCACUCCCCAGAUGGCUGCAGUGGCCAGUUCUGGGUCAGGCUGAAGCCAGGAGCCAGGAGCUUCUUCUGGGUCUCCCACGUGGGUGCUGGGGCCCAAACACUUGGGCCAUCUUCUGCUGCUUUCCCAGGCCAUAGCUGAGAGCUGGAUCUGAAGUGGAGCAGCCGGGACUCAAAUUGGCGCCCAUCUGGGAUUCCAGCGACACAGGCGCCUGCCUCACCCGCUGUGCCUGAGCCAGCCCCUACAGGUCUGUGUUUUAAUGGACAUGGAUGAAGUGUAAUCCCCUCAGAGGAUCAUUCCCACGAAAAGGAGAAUCAAGAUCUCCCGCAAGGGGCCAGCAGCAUGGCACAGGGGAUUGUUGGCGCCUGCCGGAGGCAGCGUUGGUGUGAUGGAGACAGCCGAGCUGUGAGGCUUCCGAGUGUCGCAGCAGCAUGCUAGGGAUGCCUGGAGCUCUUGCAUGAGUAAAGCCUGCUCCGUGCAGGCCACUCGGAAUUCUGUGAUUCCACGGAGGACUAGCUGCUUCCAGGAAGUCACCAGACGGUCGAAAUCUCGAGCAUGAGUCAGCAGGCGUGACAUACGGGGAGGUUUCCAGCAAGGCGCCUCAGAGAACAGAGGAGAUCGCACUACAAAUAUUUAAGGUGACUGAAGGGCUAAAAGCAAGAAUUGAAUCAAAGGAAAGAGCAAGACACAGCUCCCUGAGGGUGUCUUGGGAGUGGGCCUGUGUGGCCUAGCACGGAAGGCACCGGAUCCCAAGUCAGAGUGCCCGGCUCAAUGCUGGACUCUGGCCUGGACCCUAGCUUCUUGCUCAGGCAGACCCUGGGAGGGAGACAGGCUCAGAGCCGUCCCUGCUUCCCCCGCCCAGCCCUGGGCACUGGGGGCCUUUGGGGACUGAGCCGUGGCUGGGAGCUCUGCCUGCCUUUCUCUUUCUCUCACAAACUCUAAUCACUGAGAAAAAGCCCAGUGGAGGGGCGGUCAUUGUGCAGAGGUCCUGCUGCUGUGUGGGAGCCUGCAGCCACCUAAGGGCCUAGGCGGGACUCCCAGCUUCGCGUCCAGUCCAGCUCCCUGCUGAAGUCACCCUCCAAGGCACAGGUGAUGGGUCAAGUGCUUGGGUCCAUGACACCCGGGUGGGUGGAGUUUUAGGCUCCUGGCCUCGGCCCGGCCUAGCCCUGGCUAUUUGGGCAUUUGGGGAGUGAACCAAUGAAUGGAAACUCACUUGCUCACUCCUCUCUCUCUCUCUCUCUCUCUCUGCCUCUCAAAUACAACUUUCUCUUAAAAAAAAAAAAAAAAAAAGAA
This is a non-coding RNA of Oryctolagus cuniculus (rabbit), 26235 nucleotides long. The record is from RefSeq and is a predicted model, not a curated record. NCBI's taxonomy places the organism in Eukaryota, Metazoa, Chordata, Mammalia, Lagomorpha, Leporidae.